UAUGUGGUCAAUGCAAAUUUA
Molecule: non-coding RNA, 21 nt
Filed under: Arabidopsis thaliana (thale cress)
Lineage: Eukaryota; Viridiplantae; Streptophyta; Magnoliopsida; Brassicales; Brassicaceae
Source: RNAcentral